AUUGCAAAGUAGUAUGCUACAUGAGAGGCAAGUUUUUCACUAACUCCACAGUGGUCUCUGGCCAUUGUGAGACCACCACAGUGGUUGUCUUUGGCCAUGAGUGGAGUUUGACAGUAGUCCUUGCUACAAGU
This 131-nucleotide small nucleolar RNA is filed under the name Otolemur garnettii (small-eared galago). Lineage: Eukaryota; Metazoa; Chordata; Mammalia; Primates; Galagidae. The record is from RNAcentral.